Non-coding RNA from Salvia hispanica, 489 nucleotides. The record is from RefSeq and is a predicted model, not a curated record. Lineage: Eukaryota; Viridiplantae; Streptophyta; Magnoliopsida; Lamiales; Lamiaceae.
AGUUAGACCUACAUGCUCUGAUAUUUGCUGUGAAAUAAUCAGAAUCAAUCUGAGGAGGGUAAGUCAAGAACAAGGAUCAAUGGGAUCAAAGUUUCUAGAAGGGCAUCCACACGUGGGGACUUGGUCUGCUUCAUCGUACCUGCAGACUCCGUAGCUUCCACAGAACCCGAAAACCUCACACUGAUCACUCACAGCAGUCCACCUCACAACUCUGUUUCCAACUCCAUCACUCAAUGCAGAGCUAUACAUCCUCAUAUUCCCAUCACAAUCCAACUUCACAAACCUCAGGAUACCAUCACUCGAAUCGCCAUAAUCACUACCUCGAGCCAUUAAGACAUUGUUCAAGAGCAACGGAUCGAGAAGGGACAGUAUUCCCUCAGGCUGCAUAGCUAAACUAGAGAUAUUUUACCUGAACUCAACAAGCGAAAAGAGUAGAAUCCACAACGUAAGACGUUUCCAGUCGUGAAAUUCUGCUCAGGCACAAUAGUA